CUGCACUUUGCUUUUUCUUUCUCUGCAACAGCCAGUGCUGCUUCCUCUGCUAGUCGUGCCUCUUCUAAUUUUUGUUCUUCUUCUACUUUCCACCGGUGAAGUUCCAUUGCCUGCAUGAAAAAAAUUAGGCUACAUUCCAGUUCACAAGAGAAGAUACUCCUGUAGUUGAUGUUGAAAUGCAUACCAUGUUGCUGGGUGAAGACCAUGAUCCAUUGCCACUAUCAAAAGAAUUUGAUGAGAAGCCAUUAGCUUCAGAUAACCUGGUUGCUGAGAAUGAUGAUCCAAAGCUUAAUCUGCUCUCUGUUUCUGAGCUGUUUGAAAGUCGCGGAGCAGAAUAUUUAGCAUCUGUGUCUGAGCUGUUUGAAAGCCGAGGGGGAAGACCCAAAUCGUGACUGCUGUCCAUAGAGAUUGGAAAUGUAGAGCUUGGACGACCAGAGCUCACAAAUGAUAAAUCAGAUUCUGCCACUGAGAGGUCUCCAUAUGAUCUGUUUAUCCCUUUACCUCUGUUGAAUGGGGACCUGUUGAAAGAGAUAAAUAUAAAUUGAGUCGUGUUAUGUUAAUCAACCAUUUGGAGUAGUACAUUUUGCACUUCCUCUUAUAUAUUGCAUGAGGUACUGUCUGCUUCCUGAUUCUCUGAAAAACUUACUUGAUGCUAUCUAAAUCGUCAGCUGAGCUUCGUGAUGCGUAUGGUGACCUAAUAUCAGUUACACUUCCUGUUGAAAUAGGACAGGUUAAACCUGUUCUAACAGUGUUCAAUUGCUUUAUGACAGAAAUUAACGCAAUAUGCUGCAGGUGGAAAAACAGACCUUUUGUGUCGCUGCUGAUUUGUGCAUAACGUGUAUCAGCGAAGCCAAGCUUAGCACCUAGAGAUGAGGUGGAAUGAUUCUGCUGCACGGGAGUUGGUGAACUGGGAACUGGAGAAGAUGCAUUCUUUGUCGAUUGAACUUUGCCUUUGGCAAUCACAUAAACUGUGCAAAAGCCAGCGCCCACCACCAGAUUCUCUAUGACAUUGGCUGUAACAUAGUCACUUAUGGAGGUCGCUAUGUCUAUGCCUUCAAUUACAACUUCAUUGACUUGAAUCUACGACAAAGAGAGAUAAGAUGAUUCAGAAAAUGAAACGACAUCUGCAAGAACACGAGGAAGAUUGAACGUGUAAGCAGCAACGUGCACUUACAUUCUUACGGUUGCAGAAGCAUCGGAA
Molecule: long non-coding RNA, 1201 nt
Organism: Solanum verrucosum
Lineage: Eukaryota; Viridiplantae; Streptophyta; Magnoliopsida; Solanales; Solanaceae
Exons: 3
Source: RefSeq, a predicted model, not a curated record